GUACUUGCUUUGGGAGUCCAUAUUCCAAAAUUGGGAUGAUACAGAGAAGAUUAGCUUGGCCCCUGUGCUAGGAUGACACAGAAGUUCACGUAGCCCUCCAUAUUUUU
This is a small nuclear RNA of Nycticebus coucang (slow loris), 107 nucleotides long. Lineage: Eukaryota; Metazoa; Chordata; Mammalia; Primates; Lorisidae. The record is from RefSeq and is a predicted model, not a curated record.